GACGAACGCUGGCGGCGUGCUUAACACAUGCAAGUCGAACGAAGAGCGAUGGAAGCUUGCUUCUAUCAAUCUUAGUGGCGAACGGGUGAGUAACGCGUAAUCAACCUGCCCUUCAGAGGGGGACAACAGUUGGAAACGACUGCUAAUACCGCAUACGAUCUAAUCUCGGCAUCGAGGAUAGAUGAAAGGUGGCCUCUACAUGUAAGCUAUCACUGAAGGAGGGGAUUGCGUCUGAUUGGCUAGUUGGAGGGGUAACGGCCCACCAAGGCGAGGAUCAGUAGCCGGUCUGAGAGGAUGAACGGCCACAUUGGGACGGAGACACGGCCCAGACUCCUACGGGAGGCAGCAGUGGGGAAUCUUCCGCAAUGGACGAAAGUCUGACGGAGCAACGCCGCGUGAGCGAUGACGGCCUUCGGGUUGUAAAGCUCUGUUAAUCGGGACGAAAGGCCUUCUUGCGAAUAGGGAGAAGGAUUGACGGUACCGGAAGAGAAAGCCACGGCUAACUACGUG
RNAcentral lists this ribosomal RNA (510 nucleotides) under uncultured bacterium. Its description in RNAcentral is "partial 16S ribosomal RNA". It matches the Rfam family "Bacterial small subunit ribosomal RNA", at positions 28 to 507 of the family's 1533-position model. The record is from RNAcentral.